Molecule: ribosomal RNA, 419 nt
Filed under: uncultured Prevotella sp.
Lineage: Bacteria; Pseudomonadati; Bacteroidota; Bacteroidia; Bacteroidales; Prevotellaceae
Description: bacterial SSU rRNA
Rfam family: Bacterial small subunit ribosomal RNA
Source: RNAcentral
GGAAUAUUGGUCAAUGGACGAGAGUCUGAAACAGCCAAGUAGCGUGCAGGACGACUGCCCUAUGGGUCGUAAACUGCUUUUAUAGGGGAAUAAAGUCCACUACGUGUAGUGGUUUGUAUGUACCCUAUGAAUAAGGACCGGCUAAUUCCGUGCCAGCAGCCGCGGUAAUACGGAAGGUCCGGGCGUUAUCCGGAUUUAUUGGGUUUAAAGGGAGCGCAGGCUGAUUAUUAAGCGUGACGUGAAAUGUAGCCGCUCAACGGCUGAACUGCGUCGCGAACUGGUAGUCUUGAGUGAGUUCGAUGUUGGCGGAAUUCGUGGUGUAGCGGUGAAAUGCUUAGAUAUCACGAAGAACUCCGAUUGCGAAGGCAGCCAACAAGGCCUUUACUGACGCUAAAGCUCGAAGGUGCGGGUAUCGAACA